This 744-nucleotide ribosomal RNA is filed under the name uncultured bacterium. RNAcentral's name for it is "bacterial SSU rRNA". It matches the Rfam family "Bacterial small subunit ribosomal RNA", at positions 8 to 796 of the family's 1533-position model. The record is from RNAcentral.
AGAGUUUGAUCCUGGCUCAGAACGAACGCUGGCGGCAGGCCUCAAACAUGCAAGUCUAGGGGGUGUAGCAAUACAUCACCGGCGGACGGGUGCGUAACGCGUGGGAAUAUACCUAUUGGUUCGGAACAACUGAGGGAAACUUCAGCUAAUACCGGAUACGUCCUAACGGAGAAAGAUUUAUCGCCAAUAGAUUAGCCCGCGUUCGAUUAGCUAGUUGGUGGGGUAACGGCUCACCAAGGCGACGAUCGAUAGCUGUUCUGAGAGGAAGAUCAGCCACACUGGGACUGAGACACGGCCCAGACUCCUACGGGAGGCAGCAGUUGGGAAUCUUGGACAAUGGGGGAAACCCUGAUCCAGCCAUGCCGCGUGAGUGAUGAAGGCCUUCGGGUUGUAAAACUCUUUCGCGCACGACGAUAAUGACGGUAGUGCGAGAAGAAGCUCCGGCUAACUUCGUGCCAGCAGCCGCGGUAAUACGAAGGGGGCUAGCGUUGUUCGGAAUUACUGGGCGUAAAGCGCGCGCAGGCGGUCUUCCAAGUCAGUGGUGAAAGCCCGGAGCUCAACUCCGGAACUGCCAUUGAAACUGUUAGACUUGAGUAUGAGAGAGGUGAGUGGAAUUCCCAGUGUAGAGGUGAAAUUCGUAGAUAUUGGGAAGAACACCGGUGGCGAAGGCGGCUCACUGGCUCAUUACUGACGCUCAGGCGCGACAGCGUGGGGAUCAAACAGGAUUAGAUACCCUAGUAGUCC